Molecule: long non-coding RNA, 3129 nt
Organism: Onychostoma macrolepis
Lineage: Eukaryota; Metazoa; Chordata; Actinopteri; Cypriniformes; Cyprinidae
Exons: 3
Source: RefSeq, a predicted model, not a curated record
CGCGUAGUCUCGCGAGAGUAAGCACCUGGGAGAGAAUGACUAACACGGAAGCACAGAGGAGAAAGGAAAACAAAACACCUGUCACUAACUAUUAAAACGAAGAUUCAAGUGAAAAAUGUCGGAGGAUUUCGAUAUAAGGCAAGAGGAGACUGAGAUUUUUGCGCGCUUCUCCCCGGAGCUUACAUUGUGCAUUUCGCGGCGCCUACGUCAUACUCUCAACCGCCUUGUCGGGACCGCGCCUGCUCGAGGGACUGGAAGCUGGACUAAACGGUUUAUAAAGUUUUAAGAAUUUUUCUUAAACUAACGCAUCGUUUCGCUUCAGAAGUCCUUUAUUAACACCCCGGAGCCGUGUGGAGUAGUUUUGCGAUGGAUGGGUACUUUUUUUUCAGAUUCAGAAACAGGGGCACCAUUCACUGCAAUUAUACAGAUUGGAACAGACAGGACAAUGUUGAAUAUAACUCCGAAUGUGUUCAUCUGAAAGAGGAAUGUCAGACACGCCUAGGAUGACCUGAGGGGCUCUCUGUUGGAGUAGGAUUAUCGGCAUUCAGGAAAUAAAUUCUUCAAUAUGUAUUGCCAAAGAAAGUGAAUCUGCUCAGCAUACAGGUGACACACUCUGUAAAUGACAGCUGUAGCAGGACAUGGAACAAGGGAGGCUUUUCAUCACAGGGAUGAUCAGAGAGGACUAUGUCAAUUAUCUGCUUACGUAGGCUGAUCUGCAAGUGCUCUUGGAUGCUUUUCACACUCGUAAGAGCUGCCACUUGGGAUCGUGGUUGACCUUCUUUAAUAACAAGAGCAUCAUCUUAACACUUGAAGAUAAUUACCAAUGAGUAUGUGAUCAAACGUAUAGCAUCAAUCAAAGUGAUAAAGGAAAGAACAAGAUGGUUGAGGAAAUACUUAAUGGGUACAAGAUGGGAACUAGAAUGAAAAAAACAAAAAAUGAAAGAAAAAAAACGAUAUACUUUAAUGACAACCUGUUUCUUUAUUGUCUGCUGGUCGUUGUCUCUUUCUCUUUAUCUCCCCAGGCAGAGUCAACUGUCAAGACCUUGCAUCAAUAUUCAGACACACUUUUGGAUUCCUACUCUCUCUUUCUCUCUCAAUCUGUCUCAUCCACAAAUUUGCAGAUAACCUCAAAUUCAAGGUCCACGCUGCUGACAGCUGGGUGUUGCUUUAUUAUUUUUGACAGUUAUUCAAUGUGGCACAAAUCUGAAGAAGUGAGAAGAAAAACCAAAUAUGGACUGAGAUUGCUUUGUUUUAACAUGUAGCAUAAGAUACCUGGGACCAAAUGACAUUUUAUUUUUAAGAUUUUACUUUUUUCAGUUUUUUCCCUAGUCUGGAGGAUAAAAAGCCUGUGUUUGUGCGUGUGUGUGUUUUUCCCAUUCUAAAUACCUUCUACUAUUCCAGUUUAAAUUGAAAAGACUACAAGUAAGACUUUUGUAAGAUUAUACAUCCCAAAUGUAAAGAGAGUGGCAAUGUGAUACUUCAAAAACACUGCUGUUUGUUUGAGCAAUCUGACUCAACAAGUUUAGCUCAAACAAUAUCAUCAGAGUUUGGCAUGGGGCUAUGCAAAAUAUCAAUAACAUAUAUUUCAUCCAGAUAUUUUUAACAUAAUGUCUCAGAUUUUACAUUAACACACAUGGAGGGAAACUUGGCUAUUAUUUUUGCAAUUCUGAUUGUUGCCGCUAGUGCUUAUUGUGCUUAUUGAAUAAUAAAGCUAAUAAAGAAGUUUAAGAGUCCAUCUAUCUAAUGAUGUGAUGCCACUUAGACAACAUGGCUGCUGCAAAAACAUCCCCAAUCCACUGUCAAAAACUAAGAAAUAAAAAAUGGAACGCUUCCCUAAACAUCUGUCUGAGCAUCUGGAACAUCUAGUGUUGACUGUAGAUGGUGAGUCAGAAAACCACACAGGUAUUGGUUGAUUUUAUGAUUCAGAUCAGUCUAAUUGUUAACUAUUCCCUGUUGUUUUGUAUUUAGCUGUCUCAUCCCCUCUUUGGCUUCCAUUAUUCAUCCUGUUGUUGAAGGUGGGAAUAAUAAAAAAAAAAAACAGCCUAAAUCGAAACUCUCAAAUUUUUCUGCGACAAGCGCAAACAUUUAAGUGCUUUACUUUGACAAGAUUCAUUGUCUUGCUUUGUUGUCCUGCCUCGUAUUGCGUUGACAGGCAACAAAAAAGACGAGAAGCAGCAGGAGAAGUGCCUGAUUCCUGCAACCUUUCAUCUCUCCCACAUUCACAUCUCAUCUCACCCUGUUUUUCUACUAGUUUCCUGGAGUGCGUCAUCUUUGACUCACCUGUCAUCCUCUUUUUUUCUUCUCAUUUUUCAUACAUUAUUUUGUUCUGCACUUUCAUUGUGAUCCUUUUUUGGAUACAUACUGUACGCUUUGUAAUCUCAGUAUACUGCAGGAUAGCGUGCUAUAACAUUUACUCAGCAGCAGUCUCUCUCUUUAUCACUCCACUUUCUGUGCACUGCACCAUUCGCUCGCCACUUCCCAUUCACACUGGGUUGUCAUUCCUAUCUUUAAUGUGUUUCUAUUUACUCAUAUCAUUUUGCUGUGACAGCGCCUGAGCUUGUCCAGGAGAGUGGAAUCUUUGAUCGGCAUGGUGGCAUUCCAUCAUUUUCCACGACUCCACUUUUUCUUGACAAAGUACUCCAAGUUAGAAUGUUUUAGCAGACAAGAGCCCAUCUCCAACACCAACAUCUGCUUUCCUGCAUUGUUGGCAGCAAGCACCAUUCAAACUCCCUGGGAAAGAAUGUCACUGACUCUGGUAUUCUCUCCCCACUUGAAUUCUCCUGGAAAAGGUGGCCACAGUUUCCUUGCACAGACACGGUAUCAUUUUGUUUACACAUUUUUAAUUUGUUAUUUUUAUGUUUGGAUAAAAAAUAUCAUGUAGAUUUAGUCUGUAUUUGUGCAAUAUCAUAUUCACACCAUAUUAAUUAGUUUUACUCGGAAGAAAAUGAUAUCUAAUUAUAGUCAGUGAAAAUAACACUGUAGUACAAAAUAAAAUAACAACUUGAACUCUUGAAAUAACAUUGUGAGUAUACUAUAUAUAAAGUUGGUAAUUCUUUGUGCUUUAGUUAUUCAUUGUCCAUGUUUUAGACCUUCUUUAGAAUGUUGUUACAGAAAGACUGAAUUCACAUA